This 468-nucleotide ribosomal RNA is filed under the name uncultured bacterium. Its description in RNAcentral is "partial 16S ribosomal RNA". It matches the Rfam family "Bacterial small subunit ribosomal RNA", at positions 28 to 507 of the family's 1533-position model. The record is from RNAcentral.
GACGAACGCUGGCGGCGUGCUUAACACAUGCAAGUCGAACGGAAAGGCCCUGCUUUUGUGGGGUGCUCGAGUGGCGAACGGGUGAGUAACACGUGAGUAACCUGCCCUUGACUUUGGGAUAACUUCAGGAAACUGGGGCUAAUACCGGAUAGGAGCUCCUGCUGCAUGGUGGGGGUUGGAAAGUUUCGGCGGUUGGGGAUGGACUCGCGGGUUAUCAGCUUGUUGGUGGGGUAGUGGCUUACCAAGGCUUUGACGGGUAGCCGGCCUGAGCGGGUGGCCGGCCACAUUGGGACUGAGAUACGGCCCAGACUCCUACGGGAGGCAACAGUGGGGAAUAUUGCACAAUGGGCGGAAGCCUGAUGCAGCAACGCCGCGUGCGGGAUGACGGCCUUCGGGUUGUAAACCGCUUUCGCCUGUGACGAAGCGGGAGUGACGGUAAUGGGUAAAGAAGCACCGGCUAACUACGUG